Molecule: ribosomal RNA, 440 nt
Filed under: uncultured bacterium
Lineage: Bacteria
Description: partial 16S ribosomal RNA
Rfam family: Bacterial small subunit ribosomal RNA
Source: RNAcentral
CCUACGGGAGGCAGCAGUGGGGGAUAUUGCACAAUGGGGGGAACCCUGAUGCAGCGACGCCGCGUGGGUGAAGAAGCGCCUCGGCGCGUAAAGCCCUGUCAGCAGGGAAGAAAAUGACGGUACCUGAAGAAGAAGCCCCGGCUAACUACGUGCCAGCAGCCGCGGUAAUACGUAGGGGGCAAGCGUUAUCCGGAUUUACUGGGUGUAAAGGGAGCGUAGACGGCAGCGCAAGUCUGGAGUGAAAUGCCGGGGCCCAACCCCGGAACUGCUUUGGAAACUGUGCAGCUCGAGUGCAGGAGAGGUAAGCGGAAUUCCUAGUGUAGCGGUGAAAUGCGUAGAUAUUAGGAGGAACACCAGUGGCGAAGGCGGCUUACUGGACUGUAACUGACGUUGAGGCUCGAAAGCGUGGGGAGCAAACAGGAUUAGAUACCCUUGUAGUC